This 507-nucleotide ribosomal RNA is filed under the name Clostridium botulinum. Its description in RNAcentral is "partial 23S ribosomal RNA". It matches the Rfam family "Bacterial large subunit ribosomal RNA", at positions 1207 to 1720 of the family's 2925-position model. Lineage: Bacteria; Bacillati; Bacillota; Clostridia; Eubacteriales; Clostridiaceae. The record is from RNAcentral.
UGUACACUAUGUGUACGCGGUAGAGGAGCUUUCUGUAUGGGUUGAAGUCGUACCGUAAGGAGCGGUGGACUGUACAGAAGUGAGAAUGCUGGCAUAAGUAGCGAGAAAUAAGUGAGAAUCUUAUUGGCCGAAAACCUAAGGUUUCCUGAGGAAGGUUCGUCCGCUCAGGGUUAGUCGGGACCUAAGCCGAGGCCGAAAGGCGUAGGUGAUGGACAAUCGGUUGAUAUUCCGAUACCACCUAUUUACGUUUGAGAAAUGGGGUGACGCAGUAGGAUAAGAUGUGCGCACUAUUGGAUGUGCGUCUAAGCACUUAGGCAUGCUUGAUAGGCAAAUCCGUCGAGCUAAGCUGAGGUGUGAUGGGGAGCCAUUUAUGGCGAAGUAUCUGAUUCCACACUGCCAAGAAAAGCCUCUAUCGAGUGAAUAGGUGCCCGUACCGCAAACCGACACAGGUAGGUGAGGAGAGAAUCCUAAGGCCAUCGGAAGAAUUGCUGUUAAGGAACUCGGCAA